This 497-nucleotide ribosomal RNA is filed under the name uncultured bacterium. Its description in RNAcentral is "partial 16S ribosomal RNA". It matches the Rfam family "Bacterial small subunit ribosomal RNA", at positions 28 to 507 of the family's 1533-position model. The record is from RNAcentral.
GAUGAACGCUGGCGGCGUGCCUAAUACAUGCAAGUCGAGCGAACAGAUGAGGAGCUUGCUCCUCUGACGUUAGCGGCGGACGGGUGAGUAACACGUGGAUAACCUACCUAUAAGACUGGGAUAACUUCGGGAAACCGGAGCUAAUACCGGAUAAUAUAUUGAACCGCAUGGUUCAAUAGUGAAAGACGGUUUUGCUGUCACUUAUAGAUGGAUCCGCGCCGCAUUAGCUAGUUGGUAAGGUAACGGCUUACCAAGGCAACGAUGCGUAGCCGACCUGAGAGGGUGAUCGGCCACACUGGAACUGAGACACGGUCCAGCCUCCUACGGGAGGCAGCAGUAGGGAAUCUUCCGCAAUGGGCGAAAGCCUGACGGAGCAACGCCGCGUGAGUGAUGAAGGUCUUCGGAUCGUAAAACUCUGUUAUUAGGGAAGAACAAAUGUGUAAGUAACUAUGCACGUCUUGACGGUACCUAAUCAGAAAGCCACGGCUAACUACGUG